RNAcentral lists this ribosomal RNA (462 nucleotides) under uncultured bacterium. Its description in RNAcentral is "bacterial SSU rRNA". It matches the Rfam family "Bacterial small subunit ribosomal RNA", at positions 30 to 490 of the family's 1533-position model. The record is from RNAcentral.
AUUGAACGCUGGCGGCAUGCCUUACACAUGCAAGUCGAACGGCAGCACGGGAGCAAUCCUGGUGGCGAGUGGCGAACGGGUGAGUAAUAUAUCGGAACGUGCCCAGUCGUGGGGAUAACGUAGCGAAAGCUACGCUAAUACCGCAUACGAUCUAUGGAUGAAAGCGGGGGAUCGCAAGACCUCGCGCGAUUGGAGCGGCCGAUAUCAGAUUAGGUAGUUGGUGAGGUAAAGGCUCACCAAGCCGACGAUCUGUAGCUGGUCUGAGAGGACGACCAGCCACACUGGGACUGAGACACGGCCCAGACUCCUACGGGAGGCAGCAGUGGGGAAUUUUGGACAAUGGGCGCAAGCCUGAUCCAGCAAUGCCGCGUGCAGGAUGAAGGCCUUCGGUUGUAACUGCUUUGUACGGAACGAACGGUGAGCUCUAAUACAGUUUGCUAAUGACGGUACCGUAAGAAUAAG